This 763-nucleotide ribosomal RNA is filed under the name Microbacterium sp. BAB-4851. Its description in RNAcentral is "bacterial SSU rRNA". It matches the Rfam family "Bacterial small subunit ribosomal RNA", at positions 729 to 1487 of the family's 1533-position model. Lineage: Bacteria; Bacillati; Actinomycetota; Actinomycetes; Micrococcales; Microbacteriaceae. The record is from RNAcentral.
UGGGCCGUAACCUGACGCUGAGGAGCGAAAGGGUGGGGAGCAAACAGGCCYUWKAUACCCUGGUAGUCCACCCCGUAAACGUUGGGAACUAGUUGUGGGGACCAUUCCACGGUUUCCGUGACGCAGCUAACGCAUUAAGUUCCCCGCCUGGGGAGUACGGCCGCAAGGCUAAAACUCAAAGGAAUUGACGGGGACCCGCACAAGCGGCGGAGCAUGCGGAUUAAUUCGAUGCAACGCGAAGAACCUUACCAAGGCUUGACAUACACCAGAACGGGCCAGAAAUGGUCAACUCUUUGGACACUGGUGAACAGGUGGUGCAUGGUUGUCGUCAGCUCGUGUCGUGAGAUGUUGGGUUAAGUCCCGCAACGAGCGCAACCCUCGUUCUAUGUUGCCAGCACGUAAUGGUGGGAACUCAUGGGAUACUGCCGGGGUCAACUCGGAGGAAGGUGGGGAUGACGUCAAAUCAUCAUGCCCCUUAUGUCUUGGGCUUCACGCAUGCUACAAUGGCCGGUACAAAGGGCUGCAAUACCGUGAGGUGGAGCGAAUCCCAAAAAGCCGGUCCCAGUUCGGAUUGAGGUCUGCAACUCGACCUCAUGAAGUCGGAGUCGCUAGUAAUCGCAGAUCAGCAACGCUGCGGUGAAUACGUUCCCGGGUCUUGUACACACCGCCCGUCAAGUCAUGAAAGUCGGUAACACCUGAAGCCGGUGGCCCAACCCUUGUGGAGGGAGCCGUCGAAGGUGGGAUCGGUAAUUAGGACUAAGUC